UAAUACGAAAUCUAAAACCUUCAAUUAAUCUUUGGACGGGCGAUCUCUCUAAAAAAAGCGACAAGUUGACUUUCCAAUAACUUAGAACAACAGCUCACUCAAUCAGCCCCCCAAAUGGCUGACCAAACCAAACUCCUCCUUAUCAAAACCCAUCUCCUUCAACCUUCUCAUCUCCAAUCCUCCCGAUGAACGCCACAGCCGCAGGCCCCACUGCCGGCGGCGGAGGAUUCCUCNNNNNNNNNUCUAACACUAACUUCGCAGAACAUCGGCGGAUUCGGAUAUGGAAUCGGCGUGUCAAUCGGCAUCCUCCUCCUAAUCACCACCAUCACUCUCGCCUCCUACUUCUGCACCCGCGGCGGCCACCAGCCCUCCUCCACCUCCGUCGCCCCCUCAUCGGACCACUACCGACGACACCACGUGGUGGUGGAGAUCGCGGCGGCGGAGGAAGCUGGUUUAGACGAGGCGACGCUGAAGAGCUACCCGAAGCUGGUGUACUCGGAGGGCAAGAAGCGGCAGAAGAUCAUCAAGGAGGACGCUCCGACGGCAGCGUCGUGCUGCUCCAUCUGCCUUGCGGAUUACAAGAGCGCCGACGUCCUCCGGCUGGUGCCGGACAGUCGCCACCACUUUCCCGACUGCGGCCACCUCUUCCACGUCAAGUGUGUGGACCCCUGGCUACGUAAGCAUCCCACGUGUCCUGUGUGUAGAACUUCGCCGUUGCCUUCUCCGCUUUCUACUCCUCUUGCGGAGGUGGUCCCGCUCGCUUCCAGGCCACGGGGAUGACGGAGCUAAUUGGAGAUCGGAGCAGAUGAAGAAGAUGUAGGUUAAUAUUAAUUCCACGUAAUUAUCAUAUUAAUUACUCCCUCAAAAGAUUCCUUUUUCUUUUUGUUUUUUACUCUUUGUUUCUUUGAAGAGGGAUCAUUGUAAUGUUACAUAAACAAAUGUUUGGAGCAUAUGAUCAAAUGUAGAUUAGAUUUUAUUCCAUGGAAAUUCAUUUUAACCUUGACGAUCGGUUUGCAAUGGUGAUCACAUUUUCACCAAUUGUUUCAAAUUUUGUAACAAAUAAUCACCAAAUACAACAAGAUGUUACGCUUCCUUAAUAUUGCAUUAUAUAUUUCGCCAAUUAAAUGUUCAAUUUAGCAAGCACCGAUAUGUGGAUUAGGGGUGAGCAAUCCAACUAGGAGAUAGUAGUCGUUGGCAAAACUUCUCGAGCCAG
Molecule: long non-coding RNA, 1213 nt
Filed under: Linum usitatissimum (flax)
Lineage: Eukaryota; Viridiplantae; Streptophyta; Magnoliopsida; Malpighiales; Linaceae
Description: long non-coding RNA (LUSI_LNC007226)
Source: RNAcentral